UGUUCUCAGGGCGGAGUGAAAUUCUCCACCGGUGGUGAUUCUAAAUUAGAUAAGUCCGCGAGCGCUACAAGCGUUGAUUUGGUGAAAGUCCAAAACCGACGGUGACAGUCCGGAUGAAAGAGAAU
This 125-nucleotide non-coding RNA is filed under the name uncultured Methanobrevibacter sp. Its description in RNAcentral is "FMN riboswitch (RFN element)". It matches the Rfam family "FMN riboswitch aptamer (RFN element)". From Rfam's summary of the family: The RFN element is a highly conserved domain that is found frequently in the 5'-untranslated regions of prokaryotic mRNAs that encode for flavin mononucleotide (FMN) biosynthesis and transport proteins. This element is a metabolite-dependent riboswitch that directly binds FMN in the absence of proteins. Lineage: Archaea; Methanobacteriati; Methanobacteriota; Methanobacteria; Methanobacteriales; Methanobacteriaceae. The record is from RNAcentral.